GGCGGACGGGUGGAGUAAUGUCUGGGAAACUGCCUGAUGGAGGGGGAGUAACUACUGGAAACGGUAGCUAAUACCGCAUAACGUCGCAAGACCAAAGAGGGGGACCUUCGGGCCUCUUGCCAUCGGAUGUGCCCAGAUGGGAUUAGCUAGUAGGUGGGGUAAAGGCUCACCUAGGCGACGAUCCCUAGCUGGUCUGAGAGGAUGACCAGCCACACUGGAACUGAGACACGGUCCAGACUCCUACGGGAGGCAGCAUG
RNAcentral lists this ribosomal RNA (257 nucleotides) under uncultured bacterium. Its description in RNAcentral is "partial 16S ribosomal RNA". It matches the Rfam family "Bacterial small subunit ribosomal RNA", at positions 97 to 353 of the family's 1533-position model. The record is from RNAcentral.